This is a non-coding RNA of Xyrichtys novacula (pearly razorfish), 6426 nucleotides long. The record is from the annotation of a GenBank genome assembly. NCBI's taxonomy places the organism in Eukaryota, Metazoa, Chordata, Actinopteri, Labriformes, Labridae.
UGGAGCAAAACCACCAGAUUUCCCUCCAAGUUUCCAGACCCAAAAAACAAGAAAGAUUUGAGCAUUUGUGUCCUCAACGCUCCUCUUCUUCUUCAUGUCUUCCUCCUGCUCUUGUUCCUCUUUGAUAUUCCUGCUUUAUCUCCUCCGAGGAGAGUAGGUGUGAGUAAACAAAUACAUCUCUCUCUCUUUCAUGUUCGUGUGUAUAAUGUCAGUAAACUGCUGUUUGUUUUGGUGUUUGGGAUCUAGAGGUCUAACUGGAUUAGUAAGAUAAACCUCCUCAUUUCCCCAAAGCUUCAGGCCUCUCUCUUUACUCCGCUGGAUUGAAGCUUUUCAGGCUUUAUGUGCAGGCUUCUUCAGGAAACGAUGGCGGUGAAUACAUCAGAAUAGUCAAUGGAUUAAAAACGCCGUCCUUCGCUUUAUUCGCCGUUUGUUUUGUCUUUGCUGUACAUAUUGUUCCGAGGGAUUUGUCCAUGUUCUCAUGUGUCACAGAACUGGGUGAGAAUAAAUAUGUUCAGUAAUUUCAAGAAUACAAUGAAGUAAAGCAGCAGGUUGUGGAAGUGAAAUGUACUUUUAGUGGGAGGAACUUUGACAACCGUGUAGAAAUAGUGCCAACUCAAAAAAUCUGUCAAAACACACGUCUAAUCAAGAGGAACUCCAUCAAAGUUUCAACACUAUUCUCUCAGUUAUACUCAGAUUUCUUUAUUAUCGGCUUUAGUGAAGACGAUGAAGAGGCUGUUACUGGAUUAGAGAGAAAAACAAUCAUUCUGAUCUUAGUUAAUGACUAAAUAAUCCCUUUUUUCUUCUUUACCCGACAUACAUGGGAACAACAGUUUCAAAAACAGCACCCCCUGCUGGAAUAGAGAGGUUAUUUACCAAUUGAGAGCACAGGAUCAUAAUAUGAUACUUAAAGAUACUCAAGAAAUCGAAACAAAGUGGUCAAUUUUCUGACAUAUUUCAAACUGAUAUGCAUUUAUAAUAGAAAUAAAAAGGUUUCCGUCCGUAAUUUGAAUUCUGAAUAUUACAAACUACAACACAGGGUCUGAAAUGAACUCCCACCACAUGCCAAAUGUGAGAAAAGUUUCAUUUGGUGGCUAAUCUGCAGACUAUGGAAGCGUAUUACAUUCACUUCCAAAAAAGAAAAAAUGUUUUGGGGGGGGGCUUUUGUGAGUAUUUUUUUUCUUUUUUGUGGACUAAUUUUUUUCAUCUUUCUGUUUUUCAAACUAUUUUUUUUUCAGAUAGAUUUUUCUAUUUUCUAUUUUUCUAUUAGUUAAACAUUGGGUAUGCCAAUCUUGAGAUGCCUGUGCUAAGAAGACAAACUUAUUAAAUGUAAAACUUACAUAAAAAAGAAAACUAUCUAAAAAAAAGAAAAAUCAGUAUGAAAAAUAGGGGAAAAAAUAUUACAAAAAAACAGAAAAGAAAAAGAAAAUUAGCCCCCCAAAAAACAUAAAAAAAUCAAUCUAAAAAUCAGUUGUUUUUUUGUGAGUGUAAUGCUUCCGUAGCAGACAACCGUGCAUCAUGUGUCUGGUAAAUGUGUGUAUGGUUACAAUAGUAGUUUAAUAAAAGGAUAAAACUUCAGAGUUUUUACCACAUUUUGGCGCAUUUUAGAACUUUGCAGGAUGGCGCUGGUGCAUGCAAACAUUCACAACAACAGCAGCUACCUUGUUCUUCAAAUUGUUCUCCCAGAUCAGGACGGCCAAUACACAGGUAAGUAGAAAACGUAACCCAUCACCCAGAAUAUGAAUAUUUUUUAGUGUAUUAGAUUUUUUAUAAGUUGAAUCACAUUAAGACCCCACAGAAUAUGUCAAACAUACAAUGCACUACUCACAUACAGUCCAACCAUUAGCCUUGUGCUAAUUUUCCAGCUCUACAAAUGUUUAAAGAUGUGACUCAUUAAAUGUAAAUAAAUGAAGAUGUCAGUACUGUACCUUCAAGCUGUACUGACAAAAUAAGACACAUUUGGCAUGCCUGCAUGCUUGAAUUUUAAUGUUUACAUAUAUUUUUAAAUAUUGUUUAUAUCAUUACGUAAUUCACUUUGAAUAUCGACCCCCAGGAUUUUAUUUUUAAGCUUCUUGAAUAAGACUUCACCUGAUUGGCUCAACACAUUAAUUGCAAGUCCAAGGUUUGUGAGACUGAGAAUCAGUUUUAAAGCUCAUAUUUGAGGACAGUACUUAGUUUGGUUUUUGAAGUAAUGACUGACUAAGUGAUGUUUUCUCACAGCUCUGCAGCUUUAAUGAACCAGCGUCCUCCUCAGCUCUGACAGGUGUGUGUGUGUGAGGCUGGUGUGGGAGGAAACUGGAAGGAACAGGAGCGAACUGGAGCAUCAAGAAUCGAUUCGCUCUCUUUCUCCAUUAACUCUGAUUUCUCUCCAGGAAGACAUGAACCAGAUCAGACGACGGGGGAAAUCACUCUGCCUGCCUGUGUAUGUGUGUGCGUGUGCAUGUGUGUGAGUCCUGGAUCUGUGUGUUCCUGUUCUUCUGUCAAAGUUUGAUGACUCCAAACCGGCCCUCCCUUCUCCAGAGGGUAAUUUUAGGUUCAGGACUCGGGUCGAGGUCAGCUACAGUAAAUUAGCCCGUGUUAGUCUUCCAGCUCAGGUGAUCUGUGGAGCUAAAGGGAGGGCGUGCAACCAGUGAAGGUCCUUUCAAGGACUCAAACACCUGUGAAUGUGUCAGAUAUGUACACCACCAUGCAUUCAUUUGAAUGAUAAUGUAAUGCAAAUACACAUGUAUAUGAUUAUGAUGUGUGGGUGUCAUGCACCUCUAUUUAUGGCGGCUGCCUCUAUGAAGAACAUAAAUACAGAUUUAAUGCUUCCCUUUGAUGAGAGUUGAAGAUGCCUCCAUUCAUGCUUGUCAUCUCCGUGUUCGUGAAGCUCGUACGUUUUUCUUUCAUGUUAGCUGCUGAAUCAAAUCUGUGUUUUACAAGAUGCUUGUUAGAUAGACAGAUAGCUGCGAAAGAAUACGGAGUAUUUCAAGAAAUGUUGAAAAGAUUCUGAAGGCAGGAUGGGAGCUGCUCUGGUGUCUGUUUGUGGUCGGAGUAGUGCUAAACCAUCAGGGAUUGCGGUUCUUAUGGAGAGCAAAAUCAUGCAAGAUGAUGUCUACUCCCAUUUCCAACCCUAAUUAUCAGACAACUAUUGACGUGUCUCUGCAUUCGAGCGAGGUUUAUUCAGUUUAAGAGUCUGCACAAGUUUUAUUGGACCUUUGGUGAGUUUUUUAGACUUGACCUGAAUAGGGUGACCAUACGUCUUCUUUUACCUGGAGGCCAUCUUGCUUGCACAUGACUUUUCAGUUCUGCCCAUAAAUUUUCAAUAGGAUUGAGAUCAGGGCGCCACUUUGUAACCAGUUUGGCAGUAUGCUUAGGAUCACUGUCCGUUUGGAAAACCCAUUUGCGCCCAAGCUUUAACUUCCUGGCAGAUGUCUUGAGAUGUUGCUUCAGUAUUUCCACAUAAUGUUCUUUCCUCAUGAUAUCAUCUAUUUUGUGAAGUAUAGAAGUCCCUCCUGCUGCAGAACAACCCCACAACAUGAUGCUGCCACCUCAUUAUUCUGACAUUUAGCAAAUAAAAAAGAAUUUUUGGUAACCCUAAUUGACCAAAAACAGGAAAAGUUUUAAUGUCCCAGUUGUUUAUGAAACUAAUAUUGAUGAGUUUUUAUGAUAUCUCAAAACAAAAAAUACUAUUAGCGAUGACUUUUUAGUGUCUGUUGAGCAGGUAAGGAAACGGUUGUGUGUGUUUUCUUUUUUUUUUAAAUGAAAUAUGUACUAAAAAAUUAUGAAUUUGAUUGUCAAAAGUCCAGAAUAAUGAGUUUUUUUUUUUUUUUAAAUUAAAGACAAGAUAUUUUAGUCCAGAGGGGGCGCCAAAGUUGACACACAUCAGAAGUUCCUUACAGGAGCUUUAAAGGCUUAGCUGUUUCUCUGCAUUUUUACUGUUUCGUUUUAGUUUAACUACAAUACGAAGACCUCUUUUGGUUUGGAGGUUGUUUAUCACUAUCUCUAUACACUAAAAGUACAGAAAUAUCAACUAUAACACCAAAGGCAUCUUUGGGCGUUAGCAGCCAAUGGUUGCUGUGGGAAAUGGCGCUCCAGUGAUACUAAUCCUGGGUUCAGACUUCAUGGUAUUUUUGACUAUCACAGAUGGUCAUUGUGUUUGAUUUGGCUAUUAAAGAGUCUUACUUGCUCGCGGUGACUAAACCGACCAACUGUUGCUUUCCAUUUUUUCUUUUUAACACCAUGUGGGAUGUCAAGGGAAGGAGUUUAUGGGCCAACUCUUCAGAACAAGAAUGUAAACAACCAGGAGCUUUUGCUCAAAGACGUGUGAAAAGGUUGGAGUUUUUAUCGAACAGCUUGACAAAACUCCUGUUUCACAAUCUCAGCAGUCGGACUACAAGUGCUGUAGAAGGUGGAAUAACCGGGCCGCCUGAGUCCGAUCUCACCUUGUGUCGCUCCCCAAAAAACAGUGUUCCAGUUCAGGACUCUGCUGGUGAAGUUUGGCAGUAAGAAGUUAGUUUGCAGCAAGAUUUUUUUUCCCUUUGAGGAUUUUCUUUUCGUGUUGCAUUGUGUACGUAGUCGUAGUGCUCAUGGGAAAUGCAGUUUCAUCCAUGAGAAAAAAUAAAAUUUUCGAGGAAGUCGCAUGUUGAAGCUGGGAAUGAUGAUCACACCUGAGUUGACAGCGUUCCAAUUUACAAGUGGGUCUUUUUAUGGGUCUUUUCAGCUGAACUGUUUCCAACCCCAUACAACCGUCAACAGCAACAGCAGGUCCGUGACAGACGUCAGAAGUGUCUACAACUGCUGCUCGGCAUUUUGGAGCAAGAAGAUGGAGAAUCGUACAGCAUUGUUUUUGUUGUACAUGAUGUACGCGCUACUUUUUCUGCAGAUGAGAUGCACGCUACUCCUGUUCUCUGGUGUUUUUGUUCUGGAGUUACGGGGGUGUGGCGCAUGUGCACAUGCAUCGUCUGAUCAUACUCCGACUACGCUGGUUACGUGGUAGAGAAAAUCGAAUUCCAAUUGCAUUAUCUGGGUGUCUCAAUCGGAGUUCUCCGAACUUCUCAAACUUCGAUUAUAGUCAGACUAAGGUGUUUACAUGCACUUCAGUUGUCCGGUCUCAAUCGGAAUAAGGCAAUAAUUCCGAUUUCUCGAGUGUCAUGUAAACGUACUGACUGUUACUCUUUACUGUUGAUGCACUGCGCUGCCAUCUUGGAUUAUGACGUUGUUGUCAAGUCAGGGUUGGCGAGGAUCAACCAACUUUCUGAGUCAGAAAUCUGACUUCAGGGGAAUGAUGAAUUGAGAUGAAUUUCUGACUUGGAGCUCAGAAAUCCCGACUUCUGCUUACAACUGGAACGCAGCAUCAAUCUCCUCAUGUUGCCUUUUAAUCAAUGAAAAUAGAGAAUCACGUUUUCCUGUGGUGCUCAAAGUUUACAGCUCACAGAGAUGUUUCUUGGCCCUUAUUUGAGAUAUUCGCCCUGAUUUUUCAUCUUCCAGCCUCUCCCUCUACAUUUGCAUCGCCCACCAUUGUAAUCUCACAGCCUUAAACUUCGCUUUAAUACUAUAUCGAGUUAAGCCGACUCUGACGCCGAAUUUGUCGCCUUUGAUCAACUUAGCAGAUUUAGAGGUAGACGCACUUUCAGCUCACUAGAGGUUGGACAUCCUGCUGGAUUUGUGUCUCGUCCUACUUUCUUCAUUUUUCUUCAAACAUUUUUCAAAAGCUGUCUGAAAACAUGACCUGGUAUCUUAUUUGAUUUAACAAAGCUGUAGUCGUUUUUUUGAAACACCUGUGAUGCAGAUUUUGACUCACCGUCUGCCAAAUAUUCCCUCUAUAUUGUUGGUCGUGUUGUUUGAAUGUACUCACUCAUCACAGUGGGAUGAUCUCCAGAUCUCUGUCUGUACAGUAUCUGCGUUUAAGCUGCAGGUUCAAUCAAACCUAAAUGUUAAAACAUGGAGUGUGAAUCUUAAUGACGUUCAAGACUAAGAAAAGACGCACAGGGUCUGCACGUCUUGAUGGGAUGCUAUGUGCUGGACUAUUUCCUGACUCUCUGUAGGGUUGCCAGGCAACCAGCGUUGAAUCCAGGAAAUUACUGCUCCCAGCCAACCCCAUAAAACAGAGAUUUGUCAUUUUUUACACUUUGGAUUUUGUACAGCUGAAAUUUAUAUGACACAUGUUCAUUUAUAUUUUGUAAGUGAGCCAGGAGAGCUCUUUGUCCCAGUUCCAGGCUCUGUGCUAAGCUAACACUCUGCUGGCUGUAGCGAUACAUCUCUACCAAACAGAAACCAGAGUGGGUUUGGUUAUCUGACUCUAACAGAGAGGCAGGUAGUUUAUCGCCCCAAAUAACGCUCUUCUUCAGUAGAAAAGGGAGUGAAAAGAAAGAGAAUCUCAAAAUGAUGAGGGCGAAUGUCACAGGGUACGACAGUAAAACCAUUGAAACCCUUAAUUUGUACCCUGUG